GACGAACGCUGGCGGCGUGCCUAAUACAUGCAAGUAGAACGCUGAAGGAGGAGCUUGCUUCUCUGGAUGAGUUGCGAACGGGUGAGUAACGCGUAGGUAACCUGCCUGGUAGCGGGGGAUAACUAUUGGAAACGAUAGCUAAUACCGCAUAAGAGCAGAUGUUGCAUGACAUUUGCUUAAAAGGUGCAAUUGCAUCACUACCAGAUGCACCUGCGUUGUAUUAGCUAGUUGGUGGGGUAACGGCUCACCAAGGCGACGAUACAUAGCCGACCUGAGAGGGUGGUCGGCCCCCCUGGGACUGGGACACGGCCCAGACUCCUACGGGAAGCAGCAGUAGGGAAACUUCGGCAAUGGGCGGAAAUCUGGCCGAACAACGCCGCGUGAGUGAAGAAGGUUUUCGGGUCGUGAAGCUCUGUUGUAAGGGAAGAACGAGUGUGGGAGUGGAAAGUUCAGAGUGUGACGGUAUCUGACCAAAAAGGGACGGCUAACUACGUG
Molecule: ribosomal RNA, 495 nt
Filed under: uncultured bacterium
Lineage: Bacteria
Description: partial 16S ribosomal RNA
Rfam family: Bacterial small subunit ribosomal RNA
Source: RNAcentral